This 382-nucleotide ribosomal RNA is filed under the name marine copepod environmental sample. Its description in RNAcentral is "SSU rRNA". It matches the Rfam family "Eukaryotic small subunit ribosomal RNA", at positions 587 to 972 of the family's 1831-position model. Lineage: Eukaryota; Metazoa; Arthropoda; Copepoda. The record is from RNAcentral.
AGCUCCAAUAGCGUAUAUUAAAGUUGUUGUGGUUAAAAAGCUCGUAGUUGGAUCUCAACAGCCUUGAAGCGGUUAACUUUGUAGUUUUACUGCUUUGUAGGCUGUGCUUUUGCUGGAGGUUUAGGGGUGCUCUUGAUCGAGUGUCUCUGGAUGCCAGCAGGUUUACUUUGAAAAAAUUAGAGUGCUCAAAGCAGGCUAAAAUGCCUGAAUAUUCGUGCAUGGAAUAAUAGAAAAGGAGGUGGAUCUUAUUUUGUGGGUUUUCGGGAUUCAACAAAAGGAUAAAUGGGGAAGGUGGGGGCAUUUGUAUUCAAACGACAGAGGUGAAAUUCUUGGACCGUUUGAAGACAAACUACUGCGAAAGCAUUUGCCAAGAAUGUUUUCA